Xiphias gladius (swordfish) is the source of this 1884-nucleotide long non-coding RNA. RefSeq lists it as uncharacterized. The record is from RefSeq and is a predicted model, not a curated record. The transcript is spliced from 3 exons. NCBI's taxonomy places the organism in Eukaryota, Metazoa, Chordata, Actinopteri, Istiophoriformes, Xiphiidae.
CUCCCCCUGCACUGAACCCGGGUCAGAUCGGUUUCUCCUGCCUCUGCGUCCAGACGGACUGAUGCUCCGCUGCGCCGCGCCGCCGUUAAAUACUCUCCACACUGCAAGAAGUGACCGGCUGCAGAGCGGGACUUCAUCCAGAGUCCGGACCGGUUACAGAUGCGGAUCAGGCCCGCACACACACACACACACACACACACACGCACACACACACACACAGCAGCGGAGGGAUACACGACUCCGUGGGACAUCAAAUAAUCCCGACCUGGAAACCGUGGCCGUUGUGAGUGAAAGUGUCAGGUGACCCUGCUCAGGUGUCCGGGUCAAACACAACGAAGAAGAAAAGAGAGUUUGAGCCCGGAAGUUUCCUGAUGCUUCACACUUUAGAAAAGAGAACGUGGCAGAAAAGCGCGAGGACUGAAAUAUGAAAUAAAACGUUAGUGAAUGAUGCGUUCACAGGCUGUCAGAGAACAACAGUUUCAAAUUCGAGGGUGACUGACCUGCAGGGAAAGAUCUGAACCUCAACAACCAGGACCUGCAUCCAUCGAACUCUCUCUUCUCUUUGUGCAUUUCUCUGGAGAAUGAAGCUGCGUUUGGUUGGUGAGCAAACACCUUUCACGCACCUGAACUAAAACGUCCAGCAGCUCAGACAGAUGUCCAUUAGUUCACUGUGGCUGAUUUGACACGUCGGAGAUGUUGAAGGUCUGACAGGAAUAAAACAGGUGAAAUGCGAGGCUGUGUUUCCACGAGCUGUGGACGUCAGACCAGUCCUCUGCUGCGUCUCUGAAGAUAAAACAGCGAUUCUCUCUAUUCGUCUAUCGCCCUGUUUCUGUGAAACUUUCUUCUCUCUGCUGAUCAUCCCUGCAGACGGAUGUUCGUAGAGGACUCACUUCAGUCCGUCGCCCCUGGUUCUGUCCUGGAGCCGACAGAUGCGACAGGGUUAUGAAAGCAGCAUCAGACACCUGGUCAGGUAUCAUCCUUGACCUGGAGGCACUCGUGACUGCAGCUGUGUCAGAUAGAUGUGGUGCAAUACAAGUUCUCUCGACUUAGGAGGUUUACGUAAGUCCGUUACCGUGGAAACGGAUCCUCCGUGAGUUAUUCAGAUCGUGACGGUUUGAUGCGAGUCUGGAUUUUCGGUUUUCGAUCUUCUUUUUGUUGAACAUUGUCUUAGUCGAACACGACUUUUGAGGAUCGGAUGUUUUUCCUCUCAGACUGUUUGUUUUCAUCCCACUUGUUCGACUGAUCGACAGCUGUGAUCCGUGAUCACUUCCUGGUUUCUGCAGAUGUGCGGGUCAUAUAUGGAAGAUGUUCUUCAUCUUCCAGGAGUGUUGAUGGUCUGAGGACUGAUGGGGGUCAGCUGGGUCCAGGUCUGAUGCUGGGGGUGGUGACAGCUGUGGUCUCCAGAUGGAGCUCCUCGGGGACGUCGGACAUGUUGAGUGUCUUCUCCUUCACCGAGUCCCGAGAUCAGAGGCAUGACGGAUACUUCGGGGAACUCACACAGGGUCGGACAUUUGAGUUCCGGCUCUGCAGGGCGACACUUUUCAUCUGAAUGUCAGGUUUUUACGGAACAAAAGGACUUUGUUUUUCUCACUGGACGACAGAAAACACAACAGUAUUAAUGCAGGUCAGAAAACUUGUUUCGAAAUCAGUUGAACGUAUUUAGAAAACGCUAAAGACAUAGUGAGACACACAACCCCCACAAAGAGACUCAGGCAGACCCCCCCCCACCAUGAGCCGGGUUCUGUUCCAGGUUUCUCCCUGUUAAAGGGAGCUUUUCCUUGCCGCUGUCACCAAGUGCUUGCUCAUGGGGGAUGUUGGCUCUCUGUAAACGUAACUAUAAAGAGUCUGGUCUAGACCUGCUCUACGUGAAAAGUGCCCUGAGAA